GACGAACGCUGGCGGCGUGCCUAAUACAUGCAAGUUGAGCGCUGAAGGUUGGUACUUGUACCAACUGGAUGAGCAGCGAACGGGUGAGUAAUGCGUGGGGAAUCUGCCUUUGAGCGGGGGACAACAUUUGGAGACGAAUGCUAAUACCGCAUAAAAACUUUAAACACAAGUUUUAAGUUUGAAAGAUGCAAUUGCAUCACUCAAAGAUGAUCCCGCGUUGUAUUAGCUAGUUGGUGAGGUAAAGGCUCACCAAGGCGAUGAUACAUAGCCGACCUGAGAGGGUGAUCGGCCACAUUGGGACUGAGACACGGCCCAAACUCCUACGGGAGGCAGCAGUAGGGAAUCUUCGGCAAUGGACGAAAGUCUGACCGAGCAACGCCGCGUGAGUGAAGAAGGUUUUCGGAUCGUAAAACUCUGUUGGUAGAGAAGAACGUUGGUGAGAGUGGAAAGCUCAUCAAGUGACGGUAACUACCCAGAAAGGGACGGCUAACUACGUG
This 497-nucleotide ribosomal RNA is filed under the name uncultured bacterium. RNAcentral's name for it is "partial 16S ribosomal RNA". It matches the Rfam family "Bacterial small subunit ribosomal RNA", at positions 28 to 507 of the family's 1533-position model. The record is from RNAcentral.